AUUGAACGCUGGCGGCAUGCCUUACACAUGCAAGUCGAACGGUAACAGGUCUUCGGAUGCUGACGAGUGGCGAACGGGUGAGUACUACAUCGGAACGUGCCCAGACGUGGGGGAUAACGAGGCGAAAGCUUUGCUAAUACCGCAUACGAUCUAAGGAUGAAAGCAGGGGACCGCAAGGCCUUGCGCGUUUGGAGCGGCCGAUGGCAGAUUAGGUAGUUGGUGGGAUAAAAGCUUACCAAGCCGACGAUCUGUAGCUGGUCUGAGAGGACGACCAGCCACACUGGGACUGAGACACGGCCCAGACUCCUACGGGAGGCAGCAGUGGGGAAUUUUGGACAAUGGGCGAAAGCCUGAUCCAGCAAUGCCGCGUGCAGGAUGAAGGCCUUCGGGUUGUAAACUGCUUUUGUACGGAACGAAAAGGCUCUGGCUAAUACCUGGGGCACAUGACGGUACCGUAAGAAUAAGCACCGGCUAACUACGUG
Molecule: ribosomal RNA, 482 nt
Filed under: uncultured bacterium
Lineage: Bacteria
Description: partial 16S ribosomal RNA
Rfam family: Bacterial small subunit ribosomal RNA
Source: RNAcentral